This 1719-nucleotide ribosomal RNA is filed under the name metagenome. RNAcentral describes it as "bacterial LSU rRNA". It matches the Rfam family "Bacterial large subunit ribosomal RNA", at positions 1168 to 2925 of the family's 2925-position model. The record is from RNAcentral.
AAACGUCCGGGGCUGAAACACGACACCGAAGCCGUGGACUCGCAAUGCGAGUGGUAGAGGAGCAUUCUUAAAACCGACGAAGCUGUACCGGAAGGAGCAGUGGAGGGAUAAGAAGAGAGAAUGCCGGAAUGAGUAGCGAGAGAAAGGUGGGAAUCCUUUCGGCCGAAUAUCUAAGGUUUCCAGAGUAAAGCUGAUCUGCUCUGGGUAAGUCGGGGCCUAAGCACAGGUCGCAAGACGUAAGCGAUGGAUAACAGGUUUAGAUUCCUGUACCACGCAUUAUCAGAACUGUAGGGACGCAUGUGGAAAGCACGGGCCGGGAAUGGAAAGACCGGUACAAGCGGGGUAGGUGUACAAUAGGCAAAUCCGUUGUAUAAUCCGAAGACGUGAUGUGGAGCGAAAUAAAGUAGUGAAGCGUGUGAGCCAUGUGCCGAGAAAAGCUGCUAUUGUGUAAUGCGUGCCCGUACCGUAAACCGACACAGGUGGAUGAGGAGAGAAUCCUAAGGCCGGCGGAAGAAGCAUUGUUAAGGAAUUCGGCAAAAUGACCCCGUAACUUCGGGAGAAGGGGUGCCUGCGAGAGCAGGCCGCAGAGAAUAGGCUCAAGCAACUGUUUAGCAAAAACACAGGUCUAUGCGAAACCGAAAGGUGAAGUAUAUGGGCUGACGCCUGCCCGGUGCUGGAAGGUUAAGAGGAGAGGUUAGCUUCGGCGAAGCUUUGAAUUUAAGCCCCAGUAAACGGCGGCCGUAACAAUAACGGUCCUAAGGUAGCGAAAUUCCUUGUCGGGUAAGUUCCGACCCGCACGAAAGGCGUAAUGAUUUGAGCACUGUCUCGACAAUGCAUCCGGUGAAAUUGAAGUACCAGUGAAGAUGCUGGUUACCCGCGCCAGGACGGAAAGACCCCAUGGAGCUUUACUCCAGUUUGAUACUGGGAUUCGGUACUGCAUGUACAGGAUAGGUGGGAGACGAAGAAGGAUGGACGCCAGUCUGUCCGGAGUCGCUGUUGGGAUACCACCCCUGUAGUACUGGGUUUCUAACCAGUUGCCAUGAACUGGCAAUGGGACAAUGUCAGGCGGGGAGUUUGACUGGGGCGGUCGCCUCCGAAAGGGUAUCGGAGGCGCUCAAAGGUUUCCUCAGAAUGGUUGGAAACCAUUUGAAGAGUGCAAAGGCAGAAGGGAGCUUGACUGCGACACCGACGGGUGGAGCAGGUACGAAAGUAGGACUUAGUGAUCCGGUGGUAUAAAGUGGGAUUGCCAUCGCUCAACGGAUAAAAGCUACCCUGGGAUAACAGGCUUAUCACUCCCAAGAGUUCACAUCGACGGAGUGGUUUGGCACCUCGAUGUCGGCUCAUCGCAUCCUGGGGCUGUAGCAGGUCCCAAGGGUUGGGCUGUUCGCCCAUUAAAGCGGUACGCGAGCUGGGUUCAGAACGUCGUGAGACAGUUCGGUCCCUAUCCGGCGCGGGCGGAGGAUAUUUGAGAGGAGCUGUCCUUAGUACGAGAGGACCGGGAUGGACGGACCACUGGUGUAUCUGUUGUCGACCAACGGCAUGGCAGAGUAGCCAAGUCUGGAAGGGAUAAACGCUGAGGGCAUCUAAGCGUGAAGCCCCCCUCAAGAUGAGAUAUCCCUCCUUCGGGAGUAAGACCCCUUGAAGACUACAAGGUAGAUAGGGCAGAGGUGGAAGCAUGGCAACAUGUGGAGCUGACUGUUACUAAUAGGUCGAGGGCUU